AAAAGCCCCAUUCAUCUUAGGUCUGUAAGGAGAAGAGUUAUGAUAUUCGAUCCUGAAGUUGUCACAAAGCUCUUUCAUCAUUUUAUUAUCCAAGUUCGACCCAUUAUUAAAGAUGACUUGCUUGGAACACCAUAUCAACAAAUAAUAAGAUUCUAUAUAAAUCUGACCACAACCUGCUUGGUCAUAUUAGCAUAAGAUGCUUCUUCAACCCAUUUGGUGAAGUAAUCAAUAGCCACCAGAAUAAAAUGAUGUAUGUUCGAAGCUUUGGUCUCAAUCAUACCAAUCAUGUCAAU
RNAcentral lists this long non-coding RNA (293 nucleotides) under Lathyrus oleraceus (garden pea). RNAcentral describes it as "Pisum sativum (pea) long non-coding RNA (PSAT_LNC015991)". The record is from RNAcentral. Lineage: Eukaryota; Viridiplantae; Streptophyta; Magnoliopsida; Fabales; Fabaceae.